CACUUUCUGGUUCUGUUGUGACCACCAUCUGGCUUUGCUCACACCACUAAAUGAAGUCACAAACGAAUCCAUUUGUGAGAUACAACAAUGGGAUGAUAGGAAAUACUUCCUCGCUUUUUCUUGGAGUGCAGUUAGAAGGAAAAUGAGUCUGCACUUUUACAAAUCUCACUUUGGACACGAAGAAGAAUCUGCGCAAGCAAGUCAAUCUUCUAUAAAUGUCUCUAAGAAGGUUGUGGUACAAACCAGUCAAUACCAGAGGCCCACUGCUAAGCUGGAAGGGUGGCUCAGAGUGAUGGCAGGUCUCAAGAAUUGACAUCUGAAGAAUGCCAGGCAGGAGAAGUCAAGAAAACACAACAAAGCAAUGGAAGUUACAGGAGCCUGGACCCUGCAUAGUUUCAGAAAGGAAAGUUUAUCAACUUCAAAAGGCUUACGCAAAUAAACAUCAGCUGGAGAAAAAAAAAACCAACCUUCACUACCCUGCCUUUUAAACAUCUCUAGUUACCAGAUAGAAGAUUCUCUAUCUUUAUUUUAAAAAUGGCAAAAUAAAAAUGGUAGAAUAAAUUUUCA
This is a long non-coding RNA of Vidua chalybeata, 567 nucleotides long. RefSeq lists it as uncharacterized. NCBI's taxonomy places the organism in Eukaryota, Metazoa, Chordata, Aves, Passeriformes, Viduidae. The record is from RefSeq and is a predicted model, not a curated record. The transcript has 2 exons.